AGUUAAAUAACCUUUGAAGGUAUUAUAUCUUGAAAAUAUAUUAAAGAGGUUAAAACCCUCUAUUGACUU
RNAcentral lists this transfer RNA (69 nucleotides) under Ergaula capucina. RNAcentral describes it as "tRNA-Ser". The record is from RNAcentral. Lineage: Eukaryota; Metazoa; Arthropoda; Insecta; Blattodea; Corydiidae.